Molecule: small nuclear RNA, 177 nt
Organism: Pygocentrus nattereri (red-bellied piranha)
Lineage: Eukaryota; Metazoa; Chordata; Actinopteri; Characiformes; Serrasalmidae
Gene: U2
Rfam family: U2 spliceosomal RNA
About the family: U2 is a small nuclear RNA (snRNA) component of the spliceosome (involved in pre-mRNA splicing). Complementary binding between U2 snRNA (in an area lying towards the 5' end but 3' to hairpin I) and the branchpoint sequence (BPS) of the intron results the bulging out of an unpaired adenosine, on the BPS, which initiates a nucleophilic attack at the intronic 5' splice site, thus starting the first of two transesterification reactions that mediate splicing.
Source: Ensembl
AUCGCUUCUCAGCCUUUUGGCUAAGGUCAAGUGUAGUAUCUGUUUAUCAGUGUAAUAUCUGAUGCGUCCUCUAUAUGAGGACUACAUAUUAAAUUGGUUUUUAGAACAGUGAGACGGAAGAGUGUCCUGCUCCAUCCGCUCCACACAUCGACCUGGUAUUGGAACGGUGCACCUCCU